Gadus macrocephalus (Pacific cod) is the source of this 863-nucleotide long non-coding RNA. RefSeq lists it as uncharacterized. The record is from RefSeq and is a predicted model, not a curated record. NCBI's taxonomy places the organism in Eukaryota, Metazoa, Chordata, Actinopteri, Gadiformes, Gadidae. The transcript is spliced from 3 exons.
UAUACCAGGGGCUCUACAUACUACUACUACUACUACUACUAGUACUAUUGCUACUACUACUUCUACUACAUUUACAUUUUUGGCAUUUAGCAGAUGCUUUAUCCAAAAAGAAUUACAAUUUGUCAGAAGAAAGAGAAACAAUAUAUUGCUGUUGGCACAGUAAGGAUGUCUAUAGAACCAAGUGCCAAGCACUUACAAUUGCUAGAUUAACCAAUCCCUGUAUACAACAAAAAAAAUAACUAGGAUAAGAUGCUACAGGAUGUUAAGUACUAUUUUUAAGUGCAAGGACGUACAACAUACAAUAAGUUCUUAAGGGGGCAGGGGGGGUAGGGGGGUACUACUAGUACCCCUACUAAUAGUACUACCACUAUUACUACUACUACUACAUUACUACAAAUUGCACUGAUAUUCCAUGACUAGGCUAGUGUGACAUUCUUGCAAGUCUCUUUGGUUCUAUUUGUAUGCAUUUGGUUUCAUCCCUGCUUUCUAUUCAGCAUUACAUCCAAAGAAGAACCCAUGUUAAACAGUUUCUGUGACUUAAGGCUUAUUGAUAUGCAGCGCCAUGCCUGGAACCCUAGGGGGCACUGAGGGUAUAAAUAGGGGAGACGGUUUUCAUUUUUACACCUCUGGUUGUCAUGUUCGUUGGAAAGCUAUCCUGAGCGGCUUCUAAAGAACUUAAGGUGGACACGCCAACUUGUGAUGUCACUCAAACACGGGAAGAGGCUGAUUCUGAAGCCAUUUUGCCACACAUGUCCCAGGUCCUGCCCCUCUCCUUCCACACGACCCCUCAGAGGCCUGGUUGAUGUCGUCUUUCUCUGACUUCUUUGACAUUAUAUUUCCUUUUUUGUAUGGACUUUGUAUAC